Molecule: ribosomal RNA, 641 nt
Filed under: Nocardia sp. I15A-00837
Lineage: Bacteria; Bacillati; Actinomycetota; Actinomycetes; Mycobacteriales; Nocardiaceae
Description: bacterial SSU rRNA
Rfam family: Bacterial small subunit ribosomal RNA
Source: RNAcentral
CGGCGAACGGGUGAGUAACACGUGGGUGAUCUGCCUUGCACUCUGGGAUAAGCCUGGGAAACUGGGUCUAAUACCGGAUAUGAGCCUGGACUGCAUGGUCUGGGUUGGAAAGGUUUACUGGUGCGAGAUGGGCCCGCGGCCUAUCAGCUUGUUGGUGGGGUAACGGCCUACCAAGGCGACGACGGGUAGCCGACCUGAGAGGGUGACCGGCCACACUGGGACUGAGACACGGCCCAGACUCCUACGGGAGGCAGCAGUGGGGAAUAUUGCACAAUGGGCGAAAGCCUGAUGCAGCGACGCCGCGUGAGGGAUGACGGCCUUCGGGUUGUAAACCUCUUUUGACAGGGACGAAGCGCAAGUGACGGUACCUGUAGAAGAAGCACCGGCCAACUACGUGCCAGCAGCCGCGGUAAUACGUAGGGUGCGAGCGUUGUCCGGAAUUACUGGGCGUAAAGAGCUUGUAGGCGGUCUGUCACGUCGAUUGUGAAAACUUGCAGCUCAACUGCAAGCUUGCAGUCGAUACGGGCAGACUAGAGUACUUCAGGGGAGACUGGAAUUCCUGGUGUAGCGGUGAAAUGCGCAGAUAUCAGGAGGAACACCGGUGGCGAAGGCGGGUCUCUGGGAAGUAACUGACGCUGAGA